Molecule: ribosomal RNA, 2224 nt
Filed under: Paralicella caperesca
Lineage: Eukaryota; Metazoa; Arthropoda; Malacostraca; Amphipoda; Lysianassidae
Description: SSU rRNA
Rfam family: Eukaryotic small subunit ribosomal RNA
Source: RNAcentral
CUGUGUCUGACACGGCGAGACCGCGGACGGCUCAUUAAAUCAGUCGUGGUCCAUAUGGGCCAGUGUUGAUCCUACUUGGACAACUGUGGUAAUUCCAGAGCUAAUACAUGCAACUCUUAUCCUGAAGGAGCGUCAUGCUCUCUGACGGAUGCUUUUAUUAGACCAAACCGCUGGGUGCGUGGUGCUUCACUUCGGUGUUCCCACGUUUGACUCGUGUGAUGGUGACUCUGAAUAACAUUUUUCUUGACAAGCGCAAGUACCCCUCUUAUGAGUUGGGACGGCGCUACCACUUUCGAGUGUCUGACUUAUCAGCUAUCAACCGUUCGUUAUGUGCGACCGAUGGCUUUGACGGGUAACGGGGAAUCAGAGUUCGAUUCCGGAGAGGCAGCCUGAGAGACGGCUACCACGUCCAAGGACGGCAGCAGGCACGCAAAUUACCCAAUCCCAGCACCUGGGGGAGGUAGUGACGAAAUCUAACGAUGCGGGCGCCCUUUCUGGGGCCCCGCAAUCGGAAUGGCCACUUUCUAAAAAACCUGUUGAGAACCUACUGAAGGGCAAGUCUGGUGCCAGCAGCCGCGGUAAUUCCAGCUUCAGUAGCAUCUAUUGCGCGCGUGCGCUUCAUACAUUGAGUGCGUGUUCGCGCGUUACGAGAUUGUGUUGUCGUGUGUGUGUGGGGGGAGAGGGCGUUCGUGUGUCUCUCACAAGCCCCCGUCCGUGACAAGCCUCCUCGCUUGUGUACAUAUCUGGAAUCGUUUCAUAUAAUGGAGUGAUGUGUAUCGCGCGCGCGUUAGUGGGUUUGCGUAUCGUGGUGCGCGUGUUUAGUGCCGGCCCUGUGCUUGUACGGCGCGUGUGUUGCGUGCGUUUCUCGCGCGUGCGUUGCGGCAUGUCGUAAGCUCCUUCGGUUUUACAGUCACCUUGAGUAAAUCAGAGUGCUCAAAGCAGUCGUGAGGGCCUUGUGCCCUGUGAACAGUCUUGACGGACUGACUUGGUUUUGCAUGGCAUGUCGGAAGACGACGUCGUGUGCUGGCUCAGAGAUGUAAUCAGUGGUACAAGCCAGCCUCGACGUACUGAUUAAAAGGUUCGGUCGAGGGCAUUGGUAUUGCGGGGCGAGAGGUGAAAUUCUAUGACCCCCGCAAGACCUCCUGAAGCGAAAGCGUCUGCCAAGGACGUUCUCACUAAUCAUGAACGAAAGUUAGAGGAUCGAAGGCGAUCAGAUACCGCCCUAGUUCUAACCGUAAACGAUGCCAACCAUCAAUCCGCGCGUAGCACCCUUCUUAACGGGCUCGGCGGGCAGCUCCCCACUCACGGGAAACCAGAGUCUCUGGGUUCCGGGGGGAGUCUGGUUGCAAAGCUGAAACUUAAAGGAAUUGACGGAAAGGCACCACCAGGCGUGGAGCCUGCGGCUUAAUUUGACUCAACACGGGCCAUCUCACCAGGCCAGCACUCUUGAAUGAUUGACAGAUUGAGAGCUCUUUCUCGAUUCAGUGGAUGGUGGUGCAUGGCCGUUCUUAGUUGGUGGAGUGAUCUGUCUGGUUAAUUCCGAUAACGAACGAGACUCUCCCCUGCUAACUAGUCGGUUGGAUCUUGUGUUAUGCGAGUUGUGUGCCGGGAACACCCGAUGUUGGAUGCGCGCUGUUGUUGGGGCGGCGGCGGAGGUGUUUGUGUCGUGUGGUGGUUAGUUAACGCUGCCGCUGCCUUUGCAGCACCUCUUCGUUUAGCUCCUCACGCGUGCUCCUUCGUUCGGGCCCCGGGCCACACACUCCAAGUCCGCCGCUUAUGCUAUAACUCUUCUUAGAGGGAUUCACGGUACUGAAGCCGUAAGAGACUGAGAGCAAUAACAGGUCUGUGAUGCCCUUAGAUGCUCUGGGCCGCACGCGCGCUACAAUGCCGGGCACAGCAGGUAGUUCUCCUGCUCCGACAGGAGCGGGUAACCCUCUGAAAGCCCUUUGUUUAUUUUGUCGUGUCUCGCUCGUGGGCUACUGCGCUGUGGGGGCGUGCUGCUUUACGGUGGUGCGUUCGUACGGUGUGUGUUCGCGUUGUGAGAUGCGAACGGCGUGAUGGGGCCUGGGACUUGCAAUUUUUUCCCACAAACGAGGAAUGCCUAGUAGCGGCGGGUCACUGAGCCCACCGUGACUCAGUCCCUGCCCUUUGUACACACCGCCCGUCGCUACUACCGAUUGGGUGUACCAGUGAGAGCCUUGGACUGGCGUCCGUUGUUACCUUC